CCUGGUUGAUCUUGCCAGUAGUCAUAUGCUUGUCUCAAAGAUUAAGCCAUGCAAGUGAAAGUAUAUAUAUAUUUUAUAUGUAGAAACUGCGAACGGCUCAUUAAAACAGUUAUAGUCUACUUGACAUUUUUAUUAUAAGGAUAACUACGGAAAAGCUGUAGC
RNAcentral lists this ribosomal RNA (162 nucleotides) under Plasmodium falciparum (malaria parasite P. falciparum). RNAcentral describes it as "partial 18S ribosomal RNA". It matches the Rfam family "Eukaryotic small subunit ribosomal RNA", at positions 3 to 164 of the family's 1831-position model. Lineage: Eukaryota; Apicomplexa; Aconoidasida; Haemosporida; Plasmodiidae. The record is from RNAcentral.